Molecule: long non-coding RNA, 1003 nt
Organism: Panicum virgatum (switchgrass)
Lineage: Eukaryota; Viridiplantae; Streptophyta; Magnoliopsida; Poales; Poaceae
Exons: 3
Source: RefSeq, a predicted model, not a curated record
CGAAUCUCGAGACGAGAUUCUUUUAAGGGGGGAGGAUUGUAACACCCUAGGUGUUAUUUACCUUUAGCAUAUGGUCGGUCGCUAGUACUAAUCAUGUAUGCAUAAAGGCAUUAAAUAAAUUUUUCUGGCAUUUUAGCACAUGCAGUGAUGAAUUUUAUUUAAAAAUGUUUUCCAAUAAGAGCUCAUAUCAUAUUUCAUUUAAGUUAUAUUGAAAAUGCAUAAGUAUGAAAAAUAGUAAAUUCAUCACAAAAUAUUGUUUUGAAUGCCAACUGACUUAAUUAUAAUCCUACUAUCCUAGAGUGAAGUGAAUUUCUCGGUUCCAUGAUUUUGUGCUUGCAAGUGCCUACAGACAUUAGCAUGUUAUAGUUAUCUACGUUGACAGCUUUAGGUAGUCAUCAAAUUUUCAUCAUUUUAUUUUCCAGUAGAGAUCCUCUAAAUUUUGGCCCACACGUCAGCCCCAAACUCCCUCUUCCUCCCCUGCACUCACACGCACAGCACAUUAGCUCCUUCCAGCUCUCUGUUCCGUUCCCCUCUCUCUGGCUCUCUGCUACCUACAGCAGAAACUGAGCAGCGGCAACCAAAUCCACCACCAGCAACCAUAGAUCCUCCCUCCAGCUACCUCCAUGCCAUCCUCCCUGCUGUCCUAGUGCGAUUCCUCCCAUUUUUCCCCUUCGGAUUUGACCUCUGGUGUGCUCUAUUUCGAUGACCUAGCUCUAUUCCUCUUUUCCAAUCUUCAUCACUCGUACGUGCUGCAGCUCCGGCCAUAGCUUGUGCCUACAGCUCGAUGUUGCUCCACCAAGAUGAGGGAGGUGGAAACUCAGGCUGGCUAAGCCAUGGUGAAGUACUGAUGAUUGGGUGUGGUGUGCAGAUCAUGUAGCUGAGGACGUGGUGAACCAAAUCGUGGCUGACCAAAAAGAGAAGAACCAGCUGGAGCAGUCUGAGGACCCGGCCAAGGCCAGUAGGGCUCAAGAUCUUGGUAGUACUAACACUGAGCAGUAAAAAG